GUGAGGAAUAUUGGUCAAUGGGCGGGAGCCUGAACCAGCCAAGUCGCGUGAAGGAAGAAGGAUCUAUGGUUCGUAAACUUCUUUUGCAGGGGAAUAAAGUGCAGGACGUGUCCUGUUUUGUAUGUACCCUGAGAAUAAGGAUCGGCUAACUCCGUGCCAGCAGCCGCGGUAAUACGGAGGAUCCGAGCGUUAUCCGGAUUUAUUGGGUUUAAAGGGUGCGUAGGUGGUUUGAUAAGUCAGCGGUGAAAGUUUGCAGCUUAACUGUAAAAAUGCCGUUGAAACUGUUGGACUUGAGUGUAAAUGAGGUAGGCGGAAUGCGUGGUGUAGCGGUGAAAUGCAUAGAUAUCACGCAGAACUCCGAUUGCGAAGGCAGCUUACUAAGCUACAACUGACACUGAAGCACGAAAGCGUGGGGAUCAAACAGGAUUAGAAACCCGGGUAGUCC
RNAcentral lists this ribosomal RNA (445 nucleotides) under uncultured bacterium. Its description in RNAcentral is "partial 16S ribosomal RNA". It matches the Rfam family "Bacterial small subunit ribosomal RNA", at positions 354 to 796 of the family's 1533-position model. The record is from RNAcentral.